Molecule: ribosomal RNA, 332 nt
Filed under: uncultured bacterium
Lineage: Bacteria
Description: bacterial SSU rRNA
Rfam family: Bacterial small subunit ribosomal RNA
Source: RNAcentral
UGCGUAGGUGGCAUGGUAAGUCGGAUGUGAAAUCUCCGAGCUCAACUCGGAAAUGGCAUUGGAAACUGCCGUGCUCGAGGGUUGGAGGGGGGACUGGAAUACUUGGUGUAGCAGUGAAAUGCGUAGAUAUCAAGUGGAACACCAGUGGCGAAGGCGAGUCCCUGGACAACUCCUGACACUGAGGCACGAAAGCUAGGGGAGCAAACAGGAUUAGAUACCCUGGUAGUCCUAGCCGUAAACGGUGCACGUUUGCUGUAAAAGGAAUCGACCCCUUUUGUGGCGUAGCCAACGCGUUAAACGUGCCGCCUGGGAAGUACGGUCGCAAGAUUAAA